CUUGAGCGCUACGUACAUAACUUAGAAAUUCAGAUAAAGUUUAUAAAUGUACGGUACUGUACAGUAUUUUCACUAUACAGUAUUUAUCUUGUUUAUUAGAGUUAGGUCCAGCUAAACAUUGAAAAUUUUGGGACCACAGGAAGAUUAAGCAUCUCAGCUUAUUUCAUCUGAUGUUUAAACACUAACACUAACUUAACCUAACCUACUGUAGUAAAAUAUGCUGGGAAGACUAAUCUUCAGUUAUCUUCAAUUGAUACAAAAUUUUUAUAUCCCAACAAGAAAUAGUAUCCUACUUUCAUCUGAUAAUUGUUUCAUUGGGUCAUCUUAUAUUUAUAAUGUGGACCACACUCCUCAACCAAUAUAAUACAUAUUGUAACCUCAGAUUAAUAUCCCAAUAAGGGUAAGAAGAUGGACUCCUCACCUAUGACACUGUUUGGCUACUUCAACGAGCGAGUGAAGGCCAACCUGCACUUGGUAGUGGCCAUGUCCCCCAUAGGCGACACCUUCGGGACCAGGCUCAGGAUGUUCCCCUCCCUCAUUAACUGCUGCACUAUAGACUGGUUUACUGCAUGGCCUGAUGAUGCCUUGGAGAUGGUGGCCACAUCACUGCUGCAGGAAACUAAACUGGAGGCAUCAUUGUUGGCUCACUGUGUCACUGUCUGCAAGUAUUUCCACCACAGCAUUGAUGACCUUGCCCACAGGUUCUAUGAGCAGCUGCGGCGGAGGUACUAUGUGACAUUGUGACAUCCACCUCCUACCUGGAGCUCGUGUUCACCUUCAAGCAGCUCCUCCUUAAGAAGCGCUCAGAGAUCCUCACACUACGGGACAGGUAUGUGACAGGUCUGGAGAAACUGAAAGAGGCCAAGCUGUUGAUCACUGAACUGCAAGAAGAGCUAAAGCUGCUGCAGCCCCGCCUAGUGGAGACCUCUGCCAACACGGAGGCACUUAUGAUCAAGAUCGAACAAGACACCAUCCAAGUGGAGAGGAAACAAGAGUUGGUGGCGGCAGACGAGGCGGUGGCCAAUAAGAAGUUUGCCGAUGCACAGGCCAUAAAAGACGACUGUGAAAAGGAGCUCGCCAAGGCAGUACCAGCUCUCAAUGCUGCCACAGACGCCCUCAACACCCUCAAACAAGAUGACAUACGCGUCGUCAAGGCCAUGAAGAACCCGCCCUCAGGAGUCAAGCUGGUGAGUAUAACCUACCAAAUGAUGACAUUGGUUAUGAAGAGUGCUCACCUUAACCUCCACUCUGACUCUACCUAAGUCUCCACUGUUGUUUUACCUAAUCUUCCACUCUGACUCUACUGUCCCCAAACCUUCACUUUGCCUUAAUAUCCUCUAGCUGUUGACCUUAAGUCACUUUGUGCUCCUAACACACCCUGUGAUCCUCACACCCUCCUAAAGAUA
Molecule: unclassified non-coding RNA, 1406 nt
Filed under: Homarus americanus (American lobster)
Lineage: Eukaryota; Metazoa; Arthropoda; Malacostraca; Decapoda; Nephropidae
Description: dynein axonemal heavy chain 7-like, transcript variant X4
Source: RNAcentral